This 342-nucleotide ribosomal RNA is filed under the name uncultured bacterium. RNAcentral describes it as "partial 16S ribosomal RNA". It matches the Rfam family "Bacterial small subunit ribosomal RNA", at positions 338 to 697 of the family's 1533-position model. The record is from RNAcentral.
CCUACGGGAGGCAGCAGUAGGGAAUAUUGCGCAAUGGGGGAAACCCUGACCGAGCAACGCCGCGUGGACGAUGAAGUUUUUCGGAUUGUACAGUCCUUUUGUUAGAGAAGAUAGUGACGUUAUCUAACGAAUAAGCAACGGGCAACUCCGUGCCAGCUGCCGCGGUCAGACGGAGGGUGCAAGCGGUGCUCGGAAUCACUGGGCGUAAAGCGCGCGUAGGGGGGAUAGCAAGUUAGAUGGUAAAUCCUAUGGGUUAACCAUAGAACUGCAAUUGAAACUGUUAAUCUAGAGUAUGGGAGAGGUAGGUGGAAUUAUUGGUGUAGCGGUAAAAUGCGUAGAGAU